GUUCAAUGAGCUUUCACAUAGGAAACAUAUCCAGACCAAGAAUAGAAUAUUUCCAGGUCCUCAGAAGGCUCCCCCAUGCCCCUUCACAGUUAUACUUCCCCAAGGCUACAACUAUUCUGACCUGUAUCACCACAGGUUACUUCAGAACUUUCUAGUUAUUUAAUGCUAUUUAGGUCAACUUUUAAUGCUAUAUUAGGUCAAGUUUCAAGAAAAAGUUUUAGUUGGAAAUUCUUCUUAUUUUGGGAGGAUGCAUUGAAGGCAUAAUUUUAGCCACUUUAAAUUUUGUGAGGAGAAUGUCUCUAAAACCAUAUUAUCCAUAAGAAAGAUCAUCAAUAAAGAAGAUAGAGUUGUGAAAAAAGAAUAAAAUGAAGAGAAAAAUCGGCUGCCCCAAGUAUCUUGCUUUUCUGUGCACCACAAGUGAAAAUCAUCUCUUUAGGAUGGUAAAUGUAGUAUACUGACCACAAGAGUUCAAAACAAAUUCAGAUUUUGGAUAAACUUCAGAUUUAUUCAAGAAUCCCAGAAGUCCAUUCGAUGAUGGCAAUGUUCUGUUUUCAGGUAACAUUUGUUUUUACACUCAGUCGUUUGGCUGUUGUGACCAACUCAUCCACUUAUUGGCCCUCAUUCUGUUAGAACUGUUUAAUGAUCUGCUCUCCUUUCCUUUAAUCAUCCUUUCCUUACUUUCUCUCCUCAUCAUCUCAGACAACCUGGCUGCCCUCCCAGGACUCUGCCUGCGGGCUUGUCCUCUAACCCACUCAUGAUCAUCACUCUGGCAGAAGGAAGUCUCUCGGGAGACCUUAGUGGGGGUAUUUGCCUUGGUCUGCGUGUUUUCCAAAGAUGGAUAUUGCUACUACUAGUUAUGAUCUAACACCUGUCAGUACUUGGGGCUGACAAGCGUUUCAUAGAUAGCAUUUCCACAUCUUUACCUGGAAUCCUAUUUGGCAGGUAGGAUUCCUCACAUUUUGCUGUAGAGAAACAGACAAGCCAAUUGUUCGAGGUCAUGUAGACGGGAGUCAGGAUUUACACCUGAUUCUGUCUGGCUCCAAAGCUUACUCUGACUCUGGUCAGUAGUAAAAAAGCACAGGAGUUGAUGGGGAGGGAUAGGUAGAGUGGAAUCCUCAGCAGGGUUGGGAAUGUCUUAUAAUGAAUUUGGGUUUGAAAUAGAACAGGCAUGGGACACAAUGCAGCUUGUUUGGGACUGAGAUAAAGGAAGAAAGAAGGGGAUGGUGCUGGUCAAGCAAUGUUGGAGAGACCAUCAGGACUGGCCAAUACCAAGCCAUACCUUCUCCAGCUCCAGUCCCCAGAACGAGAGAAAUGGUAUCUGUAGCCCAGGGGGACAGGGAAAUGGCAUUUUCGCAUCUCAACCCCUCAGGCCUGGGCAGACUGCCAGAGUGGAGAGCCAGGGUAGCAAUGAGGCAGGGGAGAUCAUUAUCAGGAGGAAGGAAGCUCUGGCAGCUCCCACCAGCCUGUUUGUGACAAGCAGGCUCAGGGCCACGGAAGUCCCUUAAGGUCAAAGGAAAUGUGAUCCUGGAUCUGGGGGAUGAAGCUCAGACACUCCCUUUACCUUAUGUCUUCAGGCCAAGGGGAUCUGGCCAGAGCCAGGUCCAGGGCCUAGGUUGGAAGAGCAGUGGUCUAGAGAAACGGGAGGGGCAGUUAGAGAGGAAGAGAGAGAAGGAAUAAAAUGCCAGAGCACCUCAUAAACAAUCUCUUGGCUAGAGAGGUAAUGACCUUUAUUGCAGCCAACACAGGGUAACUGGCUCUUCAGAGCACUCGUUUCUUCAUGAGUGAACUCUUACCUAGUUCACCGCUUGCCUCUGUAACAGUGACUUCUUUCUUGCGCAACUGGUAGAGUAGAAGGUACACUGUAUUUAGAGCAAGGAGACCUAGGUUCAAGUCCAGGUUCUGCUACUAACUAAUUAGACAAGCUCUUUAAUUCAUUAAGCUUUCUAAAACCUUAAUUUCCUCAUCCAUAAAGAAGGCAUACAAUCCCUGUCAAGUCUAUGUCACAAGGGAUUAGAGGAUUCUAUACAAAUAUGAAGUGGUAUUUAUUUAUAUUUUUCUUUCCUUCAGGUCACCUCACUGCCACGUCAGAGCUGGGGAAGACUUCUAGUUCAGGAACAGAAACAGCUGUGUCCACAAAUCCCAUAUGCCCCCUUUCCAUUUAUUUCCUCUCCUUGUCAUGCUGCCCUAAUGCCAGGGGGCAGGGGAGACAUGUGCAAUGGCAUAGACCAGGGAACCCACAGACCUGAGCUUGCUGUUUCUUGGGGAUAAGCAUCUGGGAAAACAGCAACAAAAAGAUGAAAAGCCAUCCCUCUAGAGCUCAGCUCACCAGAGUGUCAGCUUCAGCCUCCCAGCAGAGGCUGAACCAGGAACAGCCCCAAGAGAUGAGGGGAAGAGAAUGCUCUGGGUGUAGGGGAGUGGUGCGGAGUCCUGGAGAGGGAAUUGAAGGUCAGCCAAAGAGCAAGCCAGUCUGGAAACCUAAAGGACUCUGUCCAAGUGUACAGGAACCAGGUGGAAUUGCUGAGAGUCCUUUUUCUGGGGAGGCUUACAGGCCACUACGUAAGACUUGUUCUGUCAGAUCUCUGAGGGCCUCUUCUCACUCCUGAACUCCUUAAGAGCUGGCCCGGGCUACGCUGUGUCUGUUUGGGGGUGGGCUGGGAGCAUCACUGGAUCAGGAAAUGAAUCAGGUUCAUGCCUCUCCACUUACAUGUCCCAAAUACGUGGACACCUAAGGAUGCCUGUACCUGCCUAAACAUGUUCAGCAAUGAGGAAGCUUGAAUCGUCACAUUCGAAGACUGUAUUUGUUCCCUGGCCACAUGAUUUUAAUGACUCUUUAAUAGAGCACCUGACCCAGGUGUCAACUG
Molecule: long non-coding RNA, 2861 nt
Filed under: Homo sapiens (human)
Lineage: Eukaryota; Metazoa; Chordata; Mammalia; Primates; Hominidae
Description: non-protein coding lnc-RNASE13-1:2
Source: RNAcentral